This 254-nucleotide ribosomal RNA is filed under the name uncultured bacterium. RNAcentral describes it as "partial 16S ribosomal RNA". It matches the Rfam family "Bacterial small subunit ribosomal RNA", at positions 524 to 776 of the family's 1533-position model. The record is from RNAcentral.
UACGUAGGUGGCAAGCGUUGUCCGGAUUUACUGGGCGUAAAGAGCGCGCAGGCGGUCGUUCAAGUCGCGUGUGAAAGCCCCCGGCUCAACUGGGGAGGGUCACGCGAUACUGAUCGACUCGAAGGCAGGAGAGGGAAGUGGGAAUUCCCGGUGUAGUGGUGAAAUGCGUAGAUAGUCGGGAGAACACCAGUGGCGAAGGCGACUUCCUGGCCUGUUCUUGACGCUGAGGCGCGAAAGCUAGGGGAGCAAACGGG